AAACCAACAGGGAUUGCCUCAGUAACGGCGAGUGAAGCGGCAAAAGCUCAAAUUUGAAACCCUCGGGAUUGUAAUUUGAAGAUUUGGCAUUGGAGAAAGCUAACCCAAGUUACUUGGAAUAGUACGUCAUAGAGGGUGACAACCCCGUCUGGCUAACCGUUCUCCAUGUAUUGCCUUAUCAAAGAGUCGAGUUGUUUGGGAAUGCAGCUCAAAGUGGGUGGUAAACUCCAUCUAAAGCUAAAUACUGGUGAGAGACCGAUAGCGAACAAGUACUGUGAAGGAAAGGUGAAAAGAACUUUGAAAAGAGAGUGAAAUAGUAUGUGAAAUUGUUGAUAGGGAAGGAAAUGAGUGGAGAGUGGUUUAGGUUUCAGCCUUCUUUCGAGGGGGUGCACUACCAACGCCGAGUCAUUGAUAGCGAGACAGGGGUUAUAAACGGACGGCACUUGUGCNUUCUCCUAACCC
This 462-nucleotide ribosomal RNA is filed under the name Yarrowia deformans. Its description in RNAcentral is "partial 26S ribosomal RNA". It matches the Rfam family "Eukaryotic large subunit ribosomal RNA", at positions 62 to 493 of the family's 3401-position model. Lineage: Eukaryota; Fungi; Ascomycota; Dipodascomycetes; Dipodascales. The record is from RNAcentral.